This 996-nucleotide ribosomal RNA is filed under the name uncultured bacterium. RNAcentral's name for it is "bacterial SSU rRNA". It matches the Rfam family "Bacterial small subunit ribosomal RNA", at positions 355 to 1375 of the family's 1533-position model. The record is from RNAcentral.
UGGGGGAUAUUGCGCAAUGGGGGAAACCCUGACGCAGCAACGCCGCGUGAAGGAUGAAGGUUUUCGGAUUGUAAACUUCUUUUAUUUAGGACGAAUUAUGACGGUACUAAAUGAAUAAGCUCCGGCUAACUACGUGCCAGCAGCCGCGGUAAUACGUAGGGAGCAAGCGUUAUCCGGAUUUACUGGGUGUAAAGGGUGCGUAGGCGGCUUGGUAAGUCAGAUGUGAAAUGUAUGGGCUCAACCCAUGCACUGCAUUUGAAACUAUUGAGCUUGAGUGAAGUAGAGGUAGGCGGAAUUCCCUGUGUAGCGGUGAAAUGCGUAGAGAUAGGGAGGAACACCAGUGGCGAAGGCGGCCUACUGGGCUUUAACUGACGCUGAGGCACGAAAGCGUGGGUAGCAAACAGGAUUAGAUACCCUGGUAGUCCACGCUGUAAACGAUGAUUACUAGGUGUGGGGGGUCUGACCCCUUCCGUGCCGGAGUUAACACAAUAAGUAAUCCACCUGGGGAGUACGACCGCAAGGUUGAAACUCAAAGGAAUUGACGGGGGCCCGCACAAGCAGUGGAGUAUGUGGUUUAAUUCGAAGCAACGCGAAGAACCUUACCAGGUCUUGACAUCGAGUGACGAAUCUAGAGAUAGGUUUUUCCUUCGGGACACAAAGACAGGUGGUGCAUGGUUGUCGUCAGCUCGUGUCGUGAGAUGUUGGGUUAAGUCCCGCAACGAGCGCAACCCUUGCUAUUAGUUGCUACGCAAGAGCACUCUAAUAGGACUGCCGUUGACAAAACGGAGGAAGGUGGGGACGACGUCAAAUCAUCAUGCCCCUUAUGACCUGGGCUACACACGUACUACAAUGGCAGUCAUACAGAGGGAAGCAAAGCUGUGAGGCGGAGCAAACCCCAAAAAGCAUUCUCAGUUCAGAUUGCAGGCUGCAACUCGCCUGUAUGAAGUUGGAAUUGCUAGUAAUCGCGGAUCAGCAUGCCGCGGUGAAUACGUUCCC